Molecule: ribosomal RNA, 723 nt
Filed under: uncultured Alphaproteobacteria bacterium
Lineage: Bacteria; Pseudomonadati; Pseudomonadota; Alphaproteobacteria
Description: bacterial SSU rRNA
Rfam family: Bacterial small subunit ribosomal RNA
Source: RNAcentral
AUCCCGGGGCUCAACCCCGGAACUGCCUUUGAUACUGCUAGUCUUGAGUUCGAGAGAGGUGAGUGGAAUUGCGAGUGUAGAGGUGAAAUUCGUAGAUAUUCGCAGGAACACCAGUGGCGAAGGCGGCUCACUGGCUCGAUACUGACGCUGAGGUGCGAAAGUGUGGGGAGCAAACAGGAUUAGAUACCCUGGUAGUCCACACCGUAAGCGAUGAAUGCCAGUCGUCGGGCAGUAUACUGUUCGGUGACACACCUAACGGAUUAAGCAUUCCGCCUGGGGAGUACGGCCGCAAGGUUAAAACUCAAAUGAAUUGACGGGGGCCCGCACAAGCGGUGGAGCAUGUGGUUUAAUUCGAUGCAACGCGAAGAACCUUACCUACUCUUGACAUCCAGAGAACUUUCCAGAGAUGGAUUGGUGCCUUCGGGAACUCUGAGACAGGUGCUGCAUGGCUGUCGUCAGCUCGUGUUGUGAAAUGUUGGGUUAAGUCCCGCAACGAGCGCAACCCUUAUCCUUGUUUGCCAGCACGUAAUGGUGGGAACUCCAGGGAGACUGCCGGUGAUAAACCGGAGGAAGGUGGGGACGACGUCAAGUCAUCAUGGCCCUUACGAGUAGGGCUACACACGUGCUACAAUGGCAGAUACAGAGGGCAGCGAAGCUGCGAAGUGGAGCGAAUCCCUUAAAGUUUGUCGUAGUCCGGAUUGGAGUCUGCAACUCGACUCCAUG